ACGCACCAUAACUACCGAGUGAUUAGCAUCACUCAGAAAAGUUUUUCUUUCCUUUUGGUAAUUUACUCCGAAAAGAGCAGUUUAAAACCACUGACAUUGCACUGUACACCAUGUGGCUGUGUGACAAAAAGGUUACAGAGGUCAAGAGAGCCAUGGACUCUUCUUUAAACGUGUGGAAACUACAUUUAAAACCACCACAAUGUAGCUACAAAGGACAGUUCAGGAGCACAGUGUGUUACAACAACACUUUCUGGAAACGACCCACUGAGGUCCAGGAUCAACGAUUUCAACUGAGCCACGUCUGACAGCAUCCACACACCUAGACAGACUCUGAUCACCUUCUCUGCUUCUCAAUCAUUGUUGGGACUGGAUGUUUAUGAUUAGCAGGUUGUUUAUGUUUCCUUGAGUAACAAAUGUAAGUGUUCAAAAGUUACAGUAGUCCUAAAUUGUAAAUCUGGAGUCUUGGGGGUCACAAAAAAUUCAUAAUGUCCAUUUGGGGCCAUUUGCCUAAAAUGUUUGGGAACCCCUGACCUAAGAUGACUCAAAAGGAAACCCAUCCUUUUCUGGUUGACAUUGGAUAGUGGGAUUAAAAAUGUUUACUUUUCCAGCGUUUACUCUUGUAUGCUAUACAGUAUAAUCAAACAGUAUUUAAUAUAUUGAAGGGAUGUUCAAUAUGAGCAUAAAGGUCUUUUAUGUUUACAGAGGUUUUUAGGUACAAGUCUACAGUAUCCAAGUGAAGUUACAUACUGAAAAGAGGGUUAAUCCUAUCCAUAAACUGUUUCUGAGUGCAAGCAGAGACUCCUGCAAGACUAGCUAUUACAGCAUAACUAAAAGGGAGCCAGAAGGUAACACAGACAUGAGGGCACCCUGGGACAUAAAGCGGCCAGCCACUCCAUCAUCAACAAACCUGAGUGAACGCGUGAGAGUGGGGGAGCGACAGCAUCCAAACAUCCCAGUUCACCACAAUACUAUAUGCCUGUGAACCCUCCAGAUCUGCUCCUUUACCUAAGAAAAAAACUAAUCCCAAAAGGCUUGACUAAACAAACAUGUUUUCAGCCUAGACUUAAACACUGAGACUUUAAACACUGAGGCGCCCUGAGUGCUCACCCGUGUGGCAAGGAAUGGAGAGGGUGUAGGGACGAAGGAUCUGGGAAGGAGAAGAUUGGACUGGAACCUGGACCCAGGGAAGAGGUUUAAGAGGAAGAGAGAGAGAGAGAAGCAAAGAGAGAGAGAGAGAGAGAAGGGGCUGCCAGCCUCUGCCACCAUGUGGUUCUCUGCCAGCUGGAUCGCCAUGUCCAACAUUACCUGUGGCACUGGACCGACUUUGAUUUUCCUGCUGGCAAUCACACGAUUGUCAGAUGAUCCUAGUCCACGAGAUCAUUGAUGUCUCCCCCUCAGUCAGCAGCCACCUGCAACAGGCAUCCCGUAGCUGUUGGGCAAACAAAAAGGGUUGGCUGCAUUCGCUGAGGGUCACAGCCUGGAACUGCUGACGGAAUAUUCACCUUCUUAAAAUCCUGGUACUCUAGCUGAUUUUUUACUGGGAACUGGUGCUCAACCAGCCGGGCUUCUCCUGAUAGCAAGGGAAGCAGUCUAACAUGACCCUGCGACUCAGGCCAUGCCCAUGUUACCUCAGCACACUCAAAGAGUUUGAUGAACACCUGGUUCAUCCUAGGACAAUAUCUUGGCCCCGUGCGGUGGGGCUAGUUGGAGUACUGGCGGGCUGCAGCUGGCUCCAGAGUGAGGGUCUUUGGCCUGUGCUGCCACCAGGGCCUUGAUGCUCUGGGCUUGCUCUGCAUGCAGGUUGAGGAUGGUCUGCUCCUGGCGUAAACUCGCGAGGGACUUCAGUUAGGAUAUCAGUUAGGGGCGAGGUCUCCAUGACGACGUAUUCUCCUCAAAUCUCAAAUUCUACUGGGUUUGCUACUGCUGUGACACCCUGGCUUUCAUGAGGAGAAUAAGGACUUGGGAGCCAGGCUUUGGAGAUAGCAAGAUGACUUUUUCUUUUACUGGCCUUGACCACAUCCCUGCCACCAGAUGGUAGUUUUCUACUGUGAUUAUUACUUAAUCUGUUCAUACUGAAUUUAAAGAAAACAUAAAUUUGGAAAUUACUGGAGAUUUCUAAACUGUACUGUUAUUGAAUAAAAAAAUGAAUUAUAGAAGGUUACUUUGGCCAACAUUAUAAUAUGUAGUCAAUUUUACUAUAAUGUGUACUGUGUUCAUACAAUAUUAGAAUAUGUUGGUGAUUUUUAAAAAUCCUGUUAUUUAAAUGUGAUUUAUUGAUGCUAUUAAUAAGUAAGCUAUAAAUAAACAAUGUUUUAAACAUGUAAUUGCAGAUGAAAGUAAAGGCCUAAACCAAUGAAAACAUGCUGUCCAAAAUUACCAAACACAUCAUUAAAAAAUGGCUUGACAAAAGCGUAUCUAAUGCUUAUUAAGAAUAUGAUGCAAACUUUUUUUUUUUCCCUUCAUAUCUAGAUACUCAACACCUUGAGUAUUUCAGAAAUGUACCAUGUAGAAUGUUUAAUGGCAAGAAAACUUAGACGAUAUGGAAAUUCAAAAAGUGUCCCAAUAUAUCAGAAUUCAGCCUACUAAAUAUGCAUAUACACUCGGGUCCAUAAGUAUUUGGACAGUGACACAAUUUUCGUAAUUUUGCCUCUGUACACCAUCACUAACAAAAAAUAUUCCAUUAACCAUUUAGGAAUUACAGCCAUGUUUAACAUAGUCCCUCCAAAAGUAAUCAGACAAUUGACUGAUAAGCAGUUUCAUGGCCAAAUGUUGCCUGUUUCUUCAUUAUUUCAUAAUAAAUUAAGAAGAUAAAAGGUCUGGAGUUGAUUCCAAGUGUUGAAUUUACAUUUGGUAGCUGUUCAUGGGAACUCUCAAUAUGUGGUCCAAAGAGGUGUCAAUGCAAGUGAAGGAGGCCUUCAUUGGGCUGAAAAAAAACAAAACAGACCUAUCAGAGAGAUAGGAGAAACUUUAGGAGUGGCCAAAUCAACAAUUUUGUACAUUAUUAAAAAUAAGGAAGGCACUGGCAAGCUCAGCAACACCAAAGGCUUGGAAGACCACAGAAGACAACUAAAGUGGAUGCUCACAGAAUUCUUUCCUUGGUGAAGAAAAACCCCUUCACAACAUCCAGCUACGUCAAGAACACUCUCAAAGAGGUAGGUGUAUCAUUGUCAAAGUCUACAAGCAAGAGACACCUUCAUGAAUGUAAAUACAGAGAGUUUACCCCAAGAUGCAAACCACUGGUAACACUCAAGAACAGAAAGACCAGUUUAGACUUUGCUAGAAAACAUCUAAAAAAAAAAAAGCCUGCCUAGUUCUGGAACAAGAUUCUUUGUAUAGAUGAAACCAAGAUUAACUUGUACCAGAAUGAUGGGAAGAGAAGAGUAUAGAGAAGGAAAGGAAGGGCUUAUGAUCCAAAGCAUAACACAUCAUCUGUCAAACAUAGUAGAGGCAGUGUUAUGGCAUGUAUGACUGCCAAUGGAACUGGGUCACUGGUGUUUAUUGGUGAUGUGACUGCUGAUAGAAGUAGCAGGAUGAAUUCUGAAGUGUAUA
This is a long non-coding RNA of Pangasianodon hypophthalmus (striped catfish), 3549 nucleotides long. RefSeq lists it as uncharacterized. NCBI's taxonomy places the organism in Eukaryota, Metazoa, Chordata, Actinopteri, Siluriformes, Pangasiidae. The record is from RefSeq and is a predicted model, not a curated record. The transcript is spliced from 3 exons.